Molecule: long non-coding RNA, 506 nt
Organism: Salmo salar (Atlantic salmon)
Lineage: Eukaryota; Metazoa; Chordata; Actinopteri; Salmoniformes; Salmonidae
Source: RefSeq, a predicted model, not a curated record
AUUUCAGUUAACAACAUCUUUCUCAACAACAGACAUUUCUUUUCAACCUUAACAAGAUCAAACAUAAACAUCUGUUUAUUUAUCUUUCUCAACAACAGACAUUUCUCUUCAACCUCAAGAAGAGAGUCUGGAUUUGUCUGACUGACUCUGUUAAUGAGGGGACCUGGAAAUGGGUGGACGGCACCCCACUGACCACAGGGUACUGGUAUGCCAAACAGCCUGAUAAUGCAGGUCCUAAUGGGGACGAGGACUGUGCUGAGAUACACAAAAAUCAGAGUCCUCUAAAGGCAUGGAAUGACAUGUCAUGUGGCAGCAAACUCAACUGGGUUUGUGAGAAAGUGUUUUAAAAUCACCAUGGCAACAUGCUGUAACACAUACAGUAGACUACAGUGCACAGAACUUCCUCCUCUGUCUCUGUCUCUCUCUCUCUUUGUCUCAAACUCAUGCACACAAAUGUUGUAUUUGUUUGUAUUAAUAUAUUAAUAAAAGUCCUACUUGUUUCCUGA